GGGUGUAGAAUAAGUGGGAGCUUCGGCAUCGUUGAAAUACCACUACCUUUAUCGUCUUUUUACUUAUUCAAUGAGGCGGAGCUGGGAUUAACAGUCCCACCUUUUGGCUUCAAGGUCUUUUACAGGCCGAUCCGGGUUGA
This 140-nucleotide ribosomal RNA is filed under the name Hypholoma fasciculare. RNAcentral describes it as "partial 25S large subunit ribosomal RNA". It matches the Rfam family "Eukaryotic large subunit ribosomal RNA", at positions 2456 to 2599 of the family's 3401-position model. Lineage: Eukaryota; Fungi; Basidiomycota; Agaricomycetes; Agaricales; Strophariaceae. The record is from RNAcentral.